UGGGGAAUCUUGCACAAUGGGGGCAACCCUGAUGCAGCGACGCCGCGUGAGCGAUGAAGGUUUUCGAAUCGUAAAGCUCUGUCCUAUGGGAAGAUAAUGACGGUACCAUAGGAGGAAGCCCCGGCUAACUACGUGCCAGCAGCCGCGGUAAUACGUAGGGGGCGAGCGUCGUCCGGAAUUACUGGGCGAAAAGGGUUCGCAGGCGGCAUGGCAAGUACGAUGUAAAAGGCGAAGGCUCAACCUUCGUAAGCAUCGGAAACUGUCAAGCUUGAGUGAAGGAGAGGCAAGUGGAAUUCCUAGUGUAGCGGUGGAAUGCGUAGAUAUUGGGGGGAAUACCGGUGGCGAAGGCGACUUUCUGGUCAUCAUCUGACGCUGGGGUACGAUAGCGUGGGUAGCAAACAGG
Molecule: ribosomal RNA, 403 nt
Filed under: Verrucomicrobiota bacterium
Lineage: Bacteria; Pseudomonadati; Verrucomicrobiota
Description: Verrucomicrobia bacterium partial 16S ribosomal RNA
Rfam family: Bacterial small subunit ribosomal RNA
Source: RNAcentral